CAGCCGCCGCGGUAACACCAGCACCUCGAGUGGUCAGGAGGUUUAUUGGGCCUAAAGCAUCCGUAGCCGGUUGCAUAAGUUUUCGGUUAAAUCUAUGCGCUUAACGUAUAGGCCGCCGAAAAUACUGUGCAGCUAGGGAGUGGGAGAGGUACACGGUACUCGAUAGGAAGGGGUAAAAUCCUUUGAUCUAUUGAUGACCACCUGUGGCGAAGGCGGUGUACCAGAACACGUUCGACGGUGAGGGAUGAAAGCUGGGGGAGCAAACCGGAUUAGAUACCCCGGUAGUCCCUGUCUCUUAUAC
Molecule: ribosomal RNA, 301 nt
Filed under: uncultured bacterium
Lineage: Bacteria
Description: partial 16S ribosomal RNA
Rfam family: Archaeal small subunit ribosomal RNA
Source: RNAcentral